RNAcentral lists this ribosomal RNA (477 nucleotides) under uncultured bacterium. RNAcentral's name for it is "bacterial SSU rRNA". It matches the Rfam family "Bacterial small subunit ribosomal RNA", at positions 9 to 521 of the family's 1533-position model. The record is from RNAcentral.
GAGUUUGAUCGUGGCUCAGGAUGAGCGCUGGCGGCGUGCCUAAUACAUGCAAGUCGAGCGGUAAGGCUCCUUCGGGAGUACACGAGCGGCGGACGGCUGAGUAACACGUAGGAACGUACCCCAAAGUGAGGGAUAACUGCUCGAAAGAGUAGCUAAUACCGCAUGUGAUCCACGGAUUAAAGCUUUAUGCGCUUUGGGAACGGCCUGCGUCCGAUUAGCUAGUUGGUAGAGUAAAAGCCUACCAAGGCGACGAUCGGUAGCUGGUCUGAGAGGAUGAUCAGCCAGACUGGGACUGAGACACGGCCCAGACUCCUACGGGAGGCAGCAGUAGGGAAUUUUCCACAAUGGGCGAAAGCCUGAUGGAGCAACGCCGCGUGCAGGAUGAAUGUCUUCGGAUUGUAGACUGCUUUUGUUGGUGACGAUUAUGACGGUAACCAACGAAUAAGGGUCUGCUAACUACGUGCCAGCCGCCGCAGU